UCCAAAUUAACUUUUGAAGUUGGAUUUUUUUAACUUGAAUGAAAUUAUUGUAUUCCAUUUAUGAGAUUACAUUAUUCCAUUUAUACUCCCUGCAUUCUUUCAUUUUUUCCGUCAAACCUGAAUUUAAGAUUACAUAUUCAGACUUUAAUCUUGGAUUUCUUUUUCAACUGAAUUUACAUUUUGUAAACAGAAUGCAAUCAUGACCAAUUUAUGGACAAAAUCGAAAAUGCAAUCAGAUUCAAGUAAAAAUGAAAUCCAAAUUCAGUAAAAUGGGUAAAGAAAUUUUUCAAUCCAAAUUCAGUAAAUGGGUAAAGAAAUUCAACAAAUUUCAAGCAUAUUAGGGGAUUAAGAAAUCAAUUGAGCAAACAAAUUCAGCAAAUUCCAAACAAAUUCAACAAAUUGGUAAAGAAAUUCAACAAAUUUAGGAAAUCUAGCAACAAAUUUCAAACCACAUUCAGCAAAAGCGUAAAUUCACCAGCGAGAAGCACCGUCUUCGCUUGAAACUCCUCGCGCAGGCAGAGCAGACGGAGGAGUUGGCGUCGGGGAGGAAUCAGCGUCGCCGAGGCGGCGGACGACGGCGGACGACAACGUCGUGUAGAUCAGUGUCGGCCCUUCUUCCGCCACCGCUGUAGAUGUAGGAGGAGCUGUUUCCACCGUCGCGUGGUUAGGCUGGAGCUCUGCUCGCCGGACUUGCCCUCUCUCAGCGGCGCGUCGUCCUCGUCGGCGUCGUCUCUCCAGUAACAGCUCUUGCCCAAAAUGAGAGAGAGUUAGGGUUUCUCUCUCAAAACUGGGAAGAUUUAACAAAACUAGCAGCGACACCUCUUACCCAAAAUGAGAGAGAGUUAGAUUUUCUUGAAAAUGGGAAGAUUUAAUAAAUUAGAAUUAGUAGUUAAUUAAGGAAUUAAGUGGGUUAUUGAGGUGGAUGCAUGAAUGGCAAAAUAAAAUAAAUAUUGAAGUCCAUGAAGGGUAUAAUUGUACAAAAAGUGAAAUGGGAC
RNAcentral lists this long non-coding RNA (995 nucleotides) under Salvia miltiorrhiza (redroot sage). Its description in RNAcentral is "long non-coding RNA (SMIL_LNC011267)". The record is from RNAcentral. Lineage: Eukaryota; Viridiplantae; Streptophyta; Magnoliopsida; Lamiales; Lamiaceae.